RNAcentral lists this ribosomal RNA (97 nucleotides) under uncultured bacterium. RNAcentral describes it as "partial 16S ribosomal RNA". It matches the Rfam family "Bacterial small subunit ribosomal RNA", at positions 1388 to 1482 of the family's 1533-position model. The record is from RNAcentral.
CACCGCCCGUCACACCAUGGGAGUUGGCUUUACCUGAAGACGGUGCGCUAACCAGCAAUGGAGGCAGCCGGCCACGGUAGGGUCAGCGACUGGGGUG